GAUAGAUAGUAAAUGGCAAGUGGUUCUCAUGCAAUCUAAAGCCAUCAGUUACGCCUGUAAUCCCAGCACUUUGGGAGGCUAAGGCAGGCGGAUCACCUGAGGUCGGGAGUUCCAGACCAGCCUGACCAACAUGGAGAAACCCCCAUCUCCACUAAAAAUACAAAAAAUUAGCUGGGCAUGGUGGUGCAUGCCUGUAAUCCCAGCUAUUUGGGGGGCUGAGGCAGGAGAAUCACUUGAAUCCAGGAGGUGGAGGUUGCGCCACUGUACUGCAGCCUGGGCAACAAGAGCAAACAACCAUAUUUAGUAUACAGUAUAUUUUUUAUAUGUUAUUCCAAAAAAGGAAAUUACAAUAUAUUCAGUAGACUCAGUAUCUUUUAAGAGAGACUGUCCUUUCUAAGAUGUCAAAUCCUUGUGGAACAGCACAUUAAAAGGUGGUUCUCUCCUGCAGGUGAUUUUGUCUCUUGAGGGAUUUCUGGUUGUCACAAGUUGGGGGUAGUGCUACUGGCAUCUAGUGUGUAGAAGUCAAGUAUGGUGAGAAACAUCC
RNAcentral lists this long non-coding RNA (544 nucleotides) under Homo sapiens (human). RNAcentral describes it as "non-protein coding lnc-TRIM36-4:4". Lineage: Eukaryota; Metazoa; Chordata; Mammalia; Primates; Hominidae. The record is from RNAcentral.